CCUACGGGUGGCAGCAGUAGGGAAUCUUCCACAAUGGGCGAAAGCCUGAUGGAGCAACGCCGCGUGGGUGAAGAAGGUCUUCGGAUCGUAAAACCCUGUUGUUAGAGAAGAAAGUGCGUGAGAGUAACUGUUCACGUUUCGACGGUAUCUAACCAGAAAGCCACGGCUAACUACGUGCCAGCAGCCGCGUUAAUACGUAGGUGGCAAGCUUUAUCCGGAUUGAUUGGGCGUAAAGGGAACGCCGGCGGUCUUUUACGGCUGAUGUGAAAGCCUUCGGCUUAACCGGAGUAGUGCAUGGGAAACUGGGAGACUUGAUUGCAGAAGAGGAGAGUGGAACUCCAUGUGUAGCGGUGAAAUGCGUAGAUAUAUGGAAGAACACCAGUGGCGAAAGCGGCUCUCUGGUCUGUAACUGACGCUGAGGUUCGAACGCGUGGGUAGCAAACAGGAUUAGAUACCCGAGUAGUC
This 465-nucleotide ribosomal RNA is filed under the name uncultured bacterium. RNAcentral describes it as "partial 16S ribosomal RNA". It matches the Rfam family "Bacterial small subunit ribosomal RNA", at positions 338 to 795 of the family's 1533-position model. The record is from RNAcentral.